GGUUAAGCGACUAAGCGUACACGGUGGAUGCCCUGGCAGUCAGAGGCGAUGAAGGACGUGCUAAUCUGCGAUAAGCGUCGGUAAGGUGAUAUGAACCGUUAUAACCGGCGAUUUCCGAAUGGGGAAACCCAGUGUGNNNNNNNNNNNNNNNNNNNNNNNNNNNNNNNNNNNNNNNNNNNNNNNNNNNNNNNNNNNNNNNNNNNNNNNNNNNNNNNNNNNNNNNNNNNNNNNNNNNNNNNNNNNNNNNNNNNNNNNNNNNNNNNNNNNNNNNNNCUGUGAGCUCGAUGAGUAGGGCGGGACACGUGGUAUCCUGUCUGAAUAUGGGGGGACCAUCCUCCAAGGCUAAAUACUCCUGACUGACCGAUAGUGAACCAGUACCGUGAGGGAAAGGCGAAAAGAACCCCGGCGAGGGGAGUGAAAAAGAACCUGAAACCGUGUACGUACAAGCAGUGGGAGCCUCUUUUAUGGGGUGACUGCGUACCUUUUGUAUAAUGGGUCAGCGACUUAUAUUCUGUAGCAAGGUUAACCGAAUAGGGGAGCCGAAGGGAAACCGAGUCUUAACUGGGCGUUAAGUUGCAGGGUAUAGACCCGAAACCCGGUGAUCUAGCCAUGGGCAGGUUGAAGGUUGGGUAACACUAACUGGAGGACCGAACCGACUAAUGUUGAAAAAUUAGCGGAUGACUUGUGGCUGGGGGUGAAAGGCCAAUCAAACCGGGAGAUAGCUGGUUCUCCCCGAAAGCUAUUUAGGUAGCGCCUCGUGAAUUCAUCUCCGGGGGUAGAGCACUGUUUCGGCAAGGGGGUCAUCCCGACUUACCAACCCGAUGCAAACUGCGAAUACCGGAGAAUGUUAUCACGGGAGACACACGGCGGGUGCUAACGUCCGUCGUGAAGAGGGAAACAACCCAGACCGCCAGCUAAGGUCCCAAAGUCAUGGUUAAGUGGGAAACGAUGUGGGAAGGCCCAGACAGCCAGGAUGUUGGCUUAGAAGCAGCCAUCAUUUAAAGAAAGCGUAAUAGCUCACUGGUCGAGUCGGCCUGCGCGGAAGAUGUAACGGGGCUAAACCAUGCACCGAAGCUGCGGCAGCGACGCUUAUGCGUUGUUGGGUAGGGGAGCGUUCUGUAAGCCUGCGAAGGUGUGCUGUGAGGCAUGCUGGAGGUAUCAGAAGUGCGAAUGCUGACAUAAGUAACGAUAAAGCGGGUGAAAAGCCCGCUCGCCGGAAGACCAAGGGUUCCUGUCCAACGUUAAUCGGGGCAGGGUGAGUCGACCCCUAAGGCGAGGCCGAAAGGCGUAGUCGAUGGGAAACAGGUUAAUAUUCCUGUACUUGGUGUUACUGCGAAGGGGGGACGGAGAAGGCUAUGUUGGCCGGGCGACGGUUGUCCCGGUUUAAGCGUGUAGGCUGGUUUUCCAGGCAAAUCCGGAAAAUCAAGGCUGAGGCGUGAUGACGAGGCACUACGGUGCUGAAGCAACAAAUGCCCUGCUUCCAGGAAAAGCCUCUAAGCAUCAGGUAACAUCAAAUCGUACCCCAAACCGACACAGGUGGUCAGGUAGAGAAUACCAAGGCGCUUGAGAGAACUCGGGUGAAGGAACUAGGCAAAAUGGUGCCGUAACUUCGGGAGAAGGCACGCUGAUAUGUAGGUGAAGUCCCUCGCGGAUGGAGCUGAAAUCAGUCGAAGAUACCAGCUGGCUGCAACUGUUUAUUAAAAACACAGCACUGUGCAAACACGAAAGUGGACGUAUACGGUGUGACGCCUGCCCGGUGCCGGAAGGUUAAUUGAUGGGGUCAGCGCAAGCGAAGCUCUUGAUCGAAGCCCCGGUAAACGGCGGCCGUAACUAUAACGGUCCUAAGGUAGCGAAAUUCCUUGUCGGGUAAGUUCCGACCUGCACGAAUGGCGUAAUGAUGGCCAGGCUGUCUCCACCCGAGACUCAGUGAAAUUGAACUCGCUGUGAAGAUGCAGUGUACCCGCGGCAAGACGGAAAGACCCCGUGAACCUUUACUAUAGCUUGACACUGAACAUUGAGCCUUGAUGUGUAGGAUAGGUGGGAGGCUUUGAAGUGUGGACGCCAGUCUGCAUGGAGCCGACCUUGAAAUACCACCCUUUAAUGUUUGAUGUUCUAACGUUGACCCGUAAUCCGGGUUGCGGACAGUGUCUGGUGGGUAGUUUGACUGGGGCGGUCUCCUCCUAAAGAGUAACGGAGGAGCACGAAGGUUGGCUAAUCCUGGUCGGACAUCAGGAGGUUAGUGCAAUGGCAUAAGCCAGCUUGACUGCGAGCGUGACGGCGCGAGCAGGUGCGAAAGCAGGUCAUAGUGAUCCGGUGGUUCUGAAUGGAAGGGCCAUCGCUCAACGGAUAAAAGGUACUCCGGGGAUAACAGGCUGAUACCGCCCAAGAGUUCAUAUCGACGGCGGUGUUUGGCACCUCGAUGUCGGCUCAUCACAUCCUGGGGCUGAAGUAGGUCCCAAGGGUAUGGCUGUUCGCCAUUUAAAGUGGUACGCGAGCUGGGUUUAGAACGUCGUGAGACAGUUCGGUCCCUAUCUGCCGUGGGCGCUGGAGAACUGAGGGGGGCUGCUCCUAGUACGAGAGGACCGGAGUGGACGCAUCACUGGUGUUCGGGUUGUCAUGCCAAUGGCACUGCCCGGUAGCUAAAUGCGGAAGAGAUAAGUGCUGAAAGCAUCUAAGCACGAAACUUGCCCCGAGAUGAGUUCUCCCUGACUCCUUGAGAGUCCUGAAGGAACGUUGAAGACGACGACGUUGAUAGGCCGGGUGUGUAAGCGCAGCGAUGCGUUGAGCUAACCGGUACUAAUGAACCGUGAGGCUUAACCUU
RNAcentral lists this ribosomal RNA (2821 nucleotides) under Escherichia coli. Its description in RNAcentral is "23S ribosomal RNA". It matches the Rfam family "Bacterial large subunit ribosomal RNA". Lineage: Bacteria; Pseudomonadati; Pseudomonadota; Gammaproteobacteria; Enterobacterales; Enterobacteriaceae. The record is from RNAcentral.